UGGUUCUCUGGUUCUACUGUUAUAGCUAAAAUUUCUUUGUCUUGCUGAGAAAAAAGAUCAGGAUUAUUAGCUAUAACAGUAGAACCAGAGAACCACUUUUGAGUAUUCCACCAAUAGGUUAGCCACGGGGUGUAGUGGGCAACACGGAGUGCCCACUGAUCUGGUGUAGGCUGUUGGUGGUAGGCUUCAUUAGAUAGGUUUGCAGGAAAACCAAGCCACCAAUAGUUAAUAACUGGAGCUAAUAGCGUAACUCCAGCUAGCCUGUGAGGAAUGUACUUGAGACAGCUCCAAGUAAACUCGCCACCCAUGGAAAAGGCAAUUACAUAGAAUUUGGAUCCAAGACCCAGUUGAUCAGCAAGUUCUUCAAUAUCUAAAGCAAAACUUUUCAACAUUCGUUUUGGAUGAGGAUCGCUCUCUCCAUAACCUGGUCUGUCAAAAGACACAAUGUAGACCCCUAAUUCUUUGACAAUUUCCGGUGAAAGGUGAUUGGCAACAGCAGGAUUGUG
This 506-nucleotide unclassified non-coding RNA is filed under the name Hevea brasiliensis (rubber tree). The record is from RNAcentral. Lineage: Eukaryota; Viridiplantae; Streptophyta; Magnoliopsida; Malpighiales; Euphorbiaceae.